GCCUGGCUGGCUCAGUUGGUAGAGCACGCGACUCUUGAUCGUGGGGUCGUGAGUUUGGGCUCCAUGUCAGGUA
RNAcentral lists this transfer RNA (73 nucleotides) under Canis lupus familiaris (dog). It matches the Rfam family "tRNA". Rfam says of the family: Transfer RNA (tRNA) molecules are approximately 80 nucleotides in length. Lineage: Eukaryota; Metazoa; Chordata; Mammalia; Carnivora; Canidae. RNAcentral also lists the same sequence under 1 other name. The record is from Rfam by way of RNAcentral.